This is a long non-coding RNA of Suricata suricatta (meerkat), 848 nucleotides long. RefSeq lists it as uncharacterized. The transcript has 2 exons. The record is from RefSeq and is a predicted model, not a curated record. NCBI's taxonomy places the organism in Eukaryota, Metazoa, Chordata, Mammalia, Carnivora, Herpestidae.
GCAACGGAGGGGAAAGAAGCGUUCGGCCGCUAGUGGAUACCCCCGACGGCGAAAGGAAAAUCCUCUCGGGCGCAACAACCAGCGGCCGCUGGGACUUAGUAUCCGAGUCAGAGCGGGUCAGACGCCGGGUGGUGCCGGGGGCGGGACGGGACCUCCGGUGAGGCCCCCAGGACUGGUGAUCCCGCUCCCGCGGGGUCUGGCGGCCGGGAGACGGCCCUCGGGGAACAGCGCUGCCUACGAGGCGCGGACAAGUAACUGCCGAGCCGAGGCCGGCAGGGAGAGGCGGCCGGGGCGACGCCCACCAGCGGGUAGGGGGCGCGGGGCCAGUCUCCGACGGCGCGCAGGAGAGACGACCACCCACCAGCGGGCUGGAGGAAACCAGUUUCUGCCCAUAGAGAGAAGGGCGAGGCCCUGCCGGAGGGCGGCAGAGGUGGCAAUAGAGUCCUACGGAGGCCAGCCCUUGCAUCAAUGCGGGACCUGAAGGAGUGGUGUGAGAGCAGACGGGGACGGGGGUGUCCCCAGAGACGAAGCAGGAGCCAGCUUAUUCGCGCUGCCCACACACAGCAGUGAUGAUGUUCCCGGACCCGAAGUGCUCCGUGGCUUCCGCAGUAUCUGCGCCCUCUUCCACCUUUGCCAAAGACCAUGGUCGCCAUCCCAGCGUGGCAGUGCCGAUGGAAAACUGGGGACCAGUUGUGUCAGGCCCGGCAUUUGUCAGGAAUAAAUGCUCAUCAUCAAACUUCUCCCUGUAGAGGGAGGUGCCACCCGUGCCCUCAUGGUGUGUGGCCCUGGCACAUAAAUCCCCAGAUCCUUCUGGGAAAACAGGAACCAAAUACUUUCUCUUGUCUUCA